UGGGAAUUUUGGACAAUGGGCGAAAGCCUGAUCCAGCAAUGCCGCGUGUGUGAGGAAGGCCUUCGGGUUGUAAAGCACUUUUGUCCGGAAAGAAAUCCUUGGCUCUAAUACAGUCGGGGGAUGACGGUACCGGAAGAAUAAGCACCGGCUAACUACGUGCCAGCAGCCGCGGUAAUACGUAGGGUGCAAGCGUUAAUCGGAAUUACUGGGCGUAAAGCGUGCGCAGGCGGUUUGCUAAGACCGAUGUGAAAUCCCCGGGCUCAACCUGGGAACUGCAUUGGUGACUGGGCAGGCUAGAGUAUGGCAGAGGGGGGUAAAUUCCACGUGUAGCAGUGAAAUGCGUAGAGAUGUGGAGGAAUACCGAUGGCGAAGGCAGCCCCCUGGGCCAAUACUGACGCUCAUGCACGAAAGCGUGGGGAGCAAACAGGAUUAG
This 433-nucleotide ribosomal RNA is filed under the name uncultured bacterium. RNAcentral describes it as "partial 16S ribosomal RNA". It matches the Rfam family "Bacterial small subunit ribosomal RNA", at positions 356 to 781 of the family's 1533-position model. The record is from RNAcentral.